This 20-nucleotide microRNA is filed under the name Ornithorhynchus anatinus (platypus). RNAcentral's name for it is "oan-miR-458-5p". Its record names the gene oan-miR-458-5p. Lineage: Eukaryota; Metazoa; Chordata; Mammalia; Monotremata; Ornithorhynchidae. The record is from miRBase by way of RNAcentral.
AGCGCCAUUUUCAGAGCUAU